GAGCAAGAGUGUCGAUAAUUGGCACUUAUUGCAUUGAAGGUUGGCAAAAACAAUCAUAGAUGGCGAUUCUCCGUGCCUAUCAAAUUUAUUCAAUUUUGAAUAUGGCCUCGAACAUCUCGCUACAUC
Small nucleolar RNA from Medicago truncatula (barrel medic), 126 nucleotides. Lineage: Eukaryota; Viridiplantae; Streptophyta; Magnoliopsida; Fabales; Fabaceae. The record is from Rfam.